UUUUAAAGCAGUUUGAAUAUUGUGACUGACAAAUACAGAGGAUAUUUUUCAUAGCUUUAUAUUUUGUGAAACUGACAUUAAAUUCAUAAUGCAGGUAAGACAAGUAUUUGGCAACAUAUUGGUAUGAAAUGUGAUGUGGUAUGAAUGUCAAUGGGACAACUCUCUUCAAGAGAUCAUGUGAAGUAGAAAUUACCAACAAUGAGAGAAUCCCUGCCGCAUAGUAUGAUGCAAAAUGCCUCAAUAUGUAAAGCGUUGAUCAUUUCAAACGAGAAAAAUAAUGUUGGAUUUAUCAAGAAAUAAAUUAUAGCUACAAUACUUAACACAAAAUGCAUAUUCAAAACAGUACAAAUAUAUAAAAGCUACACACGUAAAAAACAACAUUGAAUUUAAGGUUCCUAAUAAAAAAUUGUGUAUUGUCGCUGUUUACACGUCCUCACAGUUAAACAUAUUCGAGUUACUUUCAUAUUUGUUUUUUGUUUUCCUAUUGUAUUUAAAAUAUGCAUUUCCAAAGAAAACAUUUGACCGGUGAUAGUUUUAUAUUUAAACUCGUGCAUCCAUUUUUUACUUCAACAAUAUCGACUUUAACUAUUCGAAAAUUAAACGGGAUGUUUUAUUCCUUCCAAAAAUGUCAAUCAAACAUGCAAGUAGGUCAUACACACAAUCUGAAAUCUAUAUGGACAAUCAUCUAGUAUGUGUUGAUAAAAAUGAAUAUAGAACAUUUUAGGACAGCAAAAAGGUGUGUCCCUACCUAGUGUUUUGUAGCCAUAAAAUACCGAAAGCAGAAACAUUUUAAUAACAAAUCAGACCUUUUCAUAGUGAUGUUUAUAUCUAUUUCAGAUGUGUAUGCUCCUAGUUCUUAUGAUAUCAGAGACAUUAAAUGCGGGUUAUUUUAAGUGGAUAACAAAAGCUAUUUCGACGCAAAACCUAAUGUGUCCACUUUCUUGCAGGGCGAAAACUGGACUUUACGGACAUUUUGGAGGUUCCACUGUUAUUAAAUGUUGUGCAUCCCAAUCAUGCCC
This 1019-nucleotide long non-coding RNA is filed under the name Mytilus galloprovincialis (Mediterranean mussel). Lineage: Eukaryota; Metazoa; Mollusca; Bivalvia; Mytilida; Mytilidae. The record is from RNAcentral.